Molecule: unclassified non-coding RNA, 267 nt
Filed under: uncultured fungus
Lineage: Eukaryota; Fungi
Description: partial contains 5.8S ribosomal RNA, internal transcribed spacer 2, and large subunit ribosomal RNA
Source: RNAcentral
AACGCACAUUGCGCCCGCUAGUAUUCUAGCAGGCAUGCCUGUCCGAGCGUCGUUUCGACCCUCAGACCUCCUCCUUCGGCGGUCUGGUGUUGGGACUUCUACGCUUUAUAGCGUAGGCUCCGAAAUUCAGCGGCGGAUCUGCUGGAACUCCGAACGUAGUAAUUCAACAUCGUUUAAGGCGUUUUAGUAGAUAUUUCUAGCCGUUAAAUUCGCUUAAUAUUUUUUUAGGUCGACCUCGGAUCAGGUAGGAAUACCCGCUGAACUUAA